This 465-nucleotide ribosomal RNA is filed under the name uncultured bacterium. RNAcentral describes it as "partial 16S ribosomal RNA". It matches the Rfam family "Bacterial small subunit ribosomal RNA", at positions 28 to 507 of the family's 1533-position model. The record is from RNAcentral.
GACGAACGCUGGCGGCGUGCUUAACACAUGCAAGUCGAACGGAAAGGCCCCUUUGGGGGUACUCGAGUGGCGCACGGGUGGGUAACACGUGAGUAACCUGCCCUUGCCUUCGGGAUAACUUCAGGAAACUGGGGCUAAUACCGGAUAGGAAUCCUUGCUGCAUGGUGGGGGUUGGAUAGCUUCGGCGGUUUUGGAUGGACUCGCGGCUUAUCAGCUUGUUGGUGGGGUAGUGGCUUACCAAGGCUUUGACGGGUAGCCGGCCUGGGAGGGCGACCGGCCACAUUGGGACUGAGGUACGGCCCAGACUCCUACGGGAGGCAGCAGUGGGGAAUAUUGCACAAUGGGCGGAAGCCUGAUGCAGCAACGCCGCGGGCGGGAUGACGGCCUUCGGGUUGUAAACCGCUUUCAGCAGGGGCGAAGCUUGUGGUGACGGUACCUGCAGAAGAAGCACCGGCUAACUACGUG